This 644-nucleotide long non-coding RNA is filed under the name Homo sapiens (human). RNAcentral's name for it is "HSALNT0133633". Lineage: Eukaryota; Metazoa; Chordata; Mammalia; Primates; Hominidae. The record is from RNAcentral.
CCCCGCCCCGUAGGUGGGGCCGGGAGCUUCACCCGUGGCGCCUCGAUGGGGCGCCUCUAGCAGGCGGGUGCAGCCUGUCCCGCGUACCCAGGCGUCCUCGGUACCCACGAAACGGAUCCAAAGAGUCUCAACACUAAUGUAACAUCCCACCCUGACCCAUCUUUGCCCUCUGAGAAAAGCGGCCCGAAAUGAGUUGAGUUAUUCAUCCCCACCGCGGAGUCAGGGACAAGGAGCAGUUGAGUGGCCGAGGAGUGAGAGAGAAUCGAAUCCACUCGGGUCCUCCAAGCUGUUGGUUACCCACUUGGGCUUUCACAGCAAAGCUGCCAAAUCCCAGAAUUGAGGCCUCGGUGAAAAGCGCGCUGAGACUUGGGUAGGAGGCCCGGUGGGACCCGCGAGCUUUCUCUCCCAGCCCGAUGCAGCAGUUCAUUAAGCGGCUGUGUUUCCUCCUAACUGGCGAAGGACUCAGGUGGGCGGAGCAGAGCUCAGCUUGGGAGGAGGCGGACGCGAGUAGCUCGGCAGGGGGACUCGCUUGGCUUUCGUGCCAUCCGUGGACACAGUCGCGCGGGUCUUUGUGGGAAGAAACAAAUCACAAAAGCAAUUAAGAGAGCUCAAACAAUGGGUAAGAAAGAGCACCUCAACAACUG